Molecule: long non-coding RNA, 2403 nt
Organism: Amphiprion ocellaris (clown anemonefish)
Lineage: Eukaryota; Metazoa; Chordata; Actinopteri; Pomacentridae
Exons: 2
Source: RefSeq, a predicted model, not a curated record
CCGUGUGUGUCUGCAUGUGUGUGUGUGUCUGCAUGUGUGCGUGUGUGUGGGUGUGUGUGUGUGUGUGUGUUUGUGCAGGAAUAUGAAUAAUGCAGAAGACGCCUGUAGGAGUGUGAGGACUGCAAGGAGGGCAGAUGGUCGCCUGCUGAUAGGACAGAAUCCAGACAACGAGAUGUUCAGAGGGAGAUGAUGCCACAUCUGGUCCAGCUGAUGGAAGGUCUUGAAGUUCUCUGACUGGCCUGGACUGAAGAUGGUCGUCUCACUGGAUUUAAGGUUCAGAUGCUCAGUAACAAACUCCACCAAUGAGCCAACAGGGAAGCUUUAGGUUUAUUAAAUGUUGCUAUGAAGGUUUCACUGUUUUUCUUUGUGAAUGCAAUGAGCUCCAACUGAAACUUGAAUUAGAACUUAGAAGUAAAUCCUUCCAUCUGAAAGGAUUUAGUUGCAUUAAUAACCUCAUAACAUUCUAAUUUUUAUUCCAGUCUUGGUUGGAAAUAGAAUCUCUGUAUUGAUUCAGGUAAAAACUGAACUUCACAGCAUGUUGGAGCAAAACAACCAGAUAAAAACUGUGAUGGUGUUGGAUUGUCAGACUGUAAUGUUGCAGCUCAAAGCAGCUUUUCUAUCUCAGUUCAUUCUGACAUUCAGCUAUGAAUCAACACAGCAGAUGGUGAUCCAUGCUGUGGAAGUCUCACAUCUCCUGAUUUAAUGGAGCUGCUUUGCACUUUUUACACUGUUUAUUCACCAACACUUUAUUUAAUAAAAGUCCCAUCUAGUUUUCAUGAGGAAUGUGAUGUUUUAAUUUCUCUGUGAAAAACUGCAGUCUAAUGGAACAGCUGGAUUUGUAACAUGUGUCCUGAUAUUGAGCAUGAAGUAUUGAUCAGAAUACUUAUGGUUAACAGUCAUCCCUGAAGUUUUACAUUAAAAUCUUUACUUGUGUUGUGAACUUUGGUAAGAAGCAGAAACUUUAGCGUUGCCAUGGAUACAUGAGUGUUAAAUUCUGUCCAUGUUUCAUUUUGGGAAAUUCAGUCCAGCAGAUGAAUUUGUUUUUACUGCCAGCUACAUUCAGUCUGAGAUAUUAAGAAUAAAUAAAUGUGCAUAAUGUGGAAAUGAACAGAUUCUAUUUUUAUUUAUUCCUACAGCUGCUGCAGGAAAGUUCCAGAAUGUGGAGGAAUUUAGUCUCACAAUCACAGACAAUAAAUAUUAUCUAAGUCUGGUUAUUGUUGUUUAUCAGCACAAUACAAAAAGAUUCAUGUUACAAAUAUUCCAGUUAAGACUCUAGAAUAUCAGGAUUUAUGUAAAUUUACCUCAAUAAUAUGAAUGUUCAGGUUAAGAUUAUACAGUGAUAUUUAUUAUGUAAGUUUAGCUGAUUAAAGAUUAUGACUCUGCACUAAAAUAUUAUUUAAAUUGACAUCAUUAUUAUAAUAUUUAGGGUCAGACUCUACAGUAUUGAGAUUAAGAAAUCAAAUAUUCUAUAAAAUGUAAAUACACUGAACUCAUUUGGAUAUAUUUAAGUGAGACUCUACAAUAUUAUUUGACACAAAUCUAUCUAAAUCCAAAUUUGAAUCAUUUUUACUCCAAACAUUUACUGGACUGAUUUAAACAUUAAAAUCACUCCUUUCUAAUCCUCUGCUGUACGUUCAAACCUGAGGCCUUAAAUAGAAACACACAAGUAUCUGAUUGAAGGAACUUCUGCAGAGUCCUGGUUCCAGAACAUGAUGAUAGAAUUAUAGACAAACUUUAACAAAAGCUGCCUGAGAGUUUACAGCUUUUUAUGUUAGAUUUCUUCAGUAAUUUAAUGAGAGUUAUCAGCAAUAAUCAAGUGUUCAUUUGAUGAACUUCAUUUCCUAAAACAUCCAGAAUUGGAGCUCAUAUCUUUGGCAGCUGUAAAGUUUCUGCUCCUUCAAAGUUCACAACACAAUGAAUGAAUUCCUAAAACACUCUCAAUGCUGGAGAGCGUUUGAUGCUGAAGCAGUGAUCAGUUUUUCUGUUUCUUCUCUGGAGAUGCACAAUGAGGGACGUCUGCAGAGACUGAGAAAGAGUCUCACCACAUCCUGACAUGAGGAAAAAGACUUUAUUGAAGACUACAAUGAGAAAAACUAUCAGACAGCAGACGGCUGCAUUCAAGGUGAGAUCUGAACAUUUGAUCUGCAACAGGAAUUCAAUAACUGCAGCAUGAGCUUCAUUUCAGUCUGUAGCUGCUGAAUUCAUGGAUGAAUCAUCUGGUACUAGAGAGGAAGACCAUCAAACAUCCACGUCAGCUGAUUGAGGUCCAAGAGUCUCACCCAACAAACAGCCUACAGAGUGAAGACCUGGAAUCUGAUUGGACGGCCUCCUAUUCGGCCACAUGUGUGAACAAAUGCCUCUAAGCUGAUUUGUUUUCUAAAAUAAAUCUAGUUUGAGUCCUAA